This 253-nucleotide ribosomal RNA is filed under the name uncultured bacterium. RNAcentral describes it as "partial 16S ribosomal RNA". It matches the Rfam family "Bacterial small subunit ribosomal RNA", at positions 524 to 776 of the family's 1533-position model. The record is from RNAcentral.
UACGUAGGUGGCAAGCGUUGUCCGGAUUUAUUGGGUUUAAAGGGUGCGUAGGCGGUUUCUUAAGUCAGUGGUGAAAUACGGCAGCUCAACUGUCGAGGUGCCAUUGAUACUGGGGAACUUGAGUACUGAUGAGGUAGGCGGAAUGGACGGUGUAGCGGUGAAAUGCUUAGAUAUCGUCCAGAACACCGAUAGCGAAGGCAGCUUACUAAGGAGUAACUGACGCUGAGGCACGAAAGUGUGGGGAUCAAACAGG